UGUCUGUUUUUCUGUCACACAAGCAGCUCCUCCUGGAAAUAUCAGGAGGUUUUUCAGGAGUUUUCUGCAGGUGUGAACGCCCUACUAGUGUCUUAAGGUACACCUGAGCAUCGCUGCAGCUAAGGUGAAAUCACUGCACGUCAUUAAAAACAACAUUUCAGGGUGUGCGGUUACGUUUUGAAAUGCAUUUGUGUUCUUCAUUGUGAUAUUUGGAGUUUUUAUUCCUGAUCAUAAAAAUCACUCCGGCCUUGUGAAGAACACGCUCUCUAACCUGCUGUGCAUUUUAACAAAAAAAAACCAACCACCUCGUUCUUUAAGCUUCACGCAGCAGCGUUCAUCAUCAGUGAGAACAUCCUGCAGCUUCAUGAGGACGUCUCACCCGAGUCAACUUAAAGAUGGACGACAGGUGCAUCACAUGACAAAGGAGCCAGUUGAGGUGGUUUGGGCGUCUGAUCAGGAUCCUCCUGGACGCCUCCCUUUGGAGGUUUUCUGGACACGCCCAACUGGGAGGAGACCCUGAUUAGACCCAGAGCUCGCUGGAGGGAUUAUAUAUCCCGUCUAGCCUGGGAACGCCUCGGAAUCCCCCAAGAGGAGGAGCUGGAAAACGUUGCUGGGGAGAGGGACGUCUGGGUUGACUUACUGCGCUCUCUGCCACCGCGACCCAACCUCAAAUCAGAGGAAGAAAAUGGAGGGAUGGACAGCGCACAUUUCCUGUCCUUUUUUUCGUAUGCCAAAAGACUGUGACGGCCGUGUACUGCCCCAAGGAACAACGCCUUUCUGCAUGACGUUCUGCAUUUGAUGGUCAGUUUGAAACGCCAUGUCUGUGAUGGAUGAUGUUUGAUUUAAAGGAAAUGUACCGUUAUCGGACGCUGUGAUUCUCGUAGUUUAAUUCUUGUACUUAAAGCUUGAACUGAUUAAUGUGUUUUAGGUUUUUGUGAACGUGUCUCCUUACAUUCUGGACUUUUUGAACGGAUCGGUCUUUAAAAUAAUUGUUUUUCUUUUAUAACAGUGAGAGCAUGAUGACUGGAUAUCCGCCUGCAUGCAUCGUCGUUGAACGUUUCCUGUCUGUGAAUCAACUCCCCAUGAAAUAAAAGCUGCUCGCUCUCAUGCU
Long non-coding RNA from Labrus mixtus (cuckoo wrasse), 1111 nucleotides. RefSeq lists it as uncharacterized. Lineage: Eukaryota; Metazoa; Chordata; Actinopteri; Labriformes; Labridae. The record is from RefSeq and is a predicted model, not a curated record. The transcript is spliced from 2 exons.